AGAGGGUGAUCGGCCACACUGGAACUGAGACACGGUCCAGACUCCUACGGGAGGCAGCAGUAGGGAAUCUUCCGCAAUGGGCGAAAGCCUGACGGAGCAACGCCGCGUGAGUGAUGAAGGUCUUCGGAUCGUAAAACUCUGUUAUUAGGGAAGAACAUAUGUGUAAGUAACUGUGCACAUCUUGACGGUACCUAAUCAGAAAGCCACGGCUAACUACGUGCCAGCAGCCGCGGUAAUACGUAGGUGGCAAGCGUUAUCCGGAAUUAUUGGGCGUAAAGCGCGCGUAGGCGGUUUUUUAAGUCUGAUGUGAAAGCCCACGGCUCAACCGUGGAGGGUCAUUGGAAACUGGAAAACUUGAGUGCAGAAGAGGAAAGUGGAAUUCCAUGUGUAGCGGUGAAAUGCGCAGAGAUAUGGAGGAACACCAGUGGCGAAGGCGACUUUCUGGUCUGUAACUGACGCUGAUGUGCGAAAGCGUGGGG
This 479-nucleotide ribosomal RNA is filed under the name Staphylococcus aureus. RNAcentral describes it as "bacterial SSU rRNA". It matches the Rfam family "Bacterial small subunit ribosomal RNA", at positions 295 to 766 of the family's 1533-position model. The record is from RNAcentral. Lineage: Bacteria; Bacillati; Bacillota; Bacilli; Caryophanales; Staphylococcaceae.